UCUUGAUGACGCACAGUGCUGGCGCAAGUCGUCUUGCGCCAGGCGACUGGGUCUGAGGAGGCAGGAGUUAUUCAUUCCCUUAAGCUUUCAGGCCGGGGGGAGAAUCUUUCAGGUGGUAGCUGCAAGAACUCUUAGUAUGUUGACCUCACCUCUGCCUUCCACAUACCACUACCAGUGAGGAAUUAGGAAUGCAUGAGAAGAGUGUCCAAGAAGAGUGUCCUCAUUCAUGCAAGGCUUAAGAGAGAAUGCAGGUCAACAUCACCAUGUCAAUCAGAGAAUACUUCUGUUGGGUUGAAUGACUCUCUGCCCCCAGGUGCAGAUGCUGAGAGCACUUUCUAGUCAAGUCCUGCAUGUUCAUUUCUGUCUCAAGUCAGCUUCUCUGAGAAUCCAAUUUAUAAAAAUAUAUUUGUGAAUGUAUAAGUAAAGUGACUUGGAUUUUGUCUACGUACAAGGACUUCUAUGCCUGCAUAAAACAGUUUGGAACCAGCAGCAGCAGCAGCUCCCCAGACCUACUGAAUCAGAAUCUACAUUUUGAUAAGAGC
RNAcentral lists this long non-coding RNA (542 nucleotides) under Homo sapiens (human). Its description in RNAcentral is "HSALNT0401789". The record is from RNAcentral. Lineage: Eukaryota; Metazoa; Chordata; Mammalia; Primates; Hominidae.